UACGGGGGGAGCAAGCGUUGUUCGGAUUUACUGGGCGUAAAGGGCGCGUAGGCGGCCACCGCAAGUCAAUUGUGAAAUCUCCGGGCUUAACUCGGAAAGGUCAACUGAUACUGCGGGGCUAGAGUGCGGAAGGGGCAACUGGAAUUCUCGGUGUAGCGGUGAAAUGCGUAGAUAUCGAGAGGAACACCAGUGGCGAAGGCGGCACUCUGGGCCAGUAUUGACGCUGAGGAGCGAAAGCGUGGGGAGCGAACAGG
This 254-nucleotide ribosomal RNA is filed under the name uncultured bacterium. Its description in RNAcentral is "partial 16S ribosomal RNA". It matches the Rfam family "Bacterial small subunit ribosomal RNA", at positions 524 to 776 of the family's 1533-position model. The record is from RNAcentral.